This 207-nucleotide unclassified non-coding RNA is filed under the name soil metagenome. RNAcentral describes it as "partial contains 5.8S ribosomal RNA, internal transcribed spacer 2, and large subunit ribosomal RNA". The record is from RNAcentral.
AACCUUAUGGACCUGCGGGCGUAUACCUGCGGAAGGAUCAUUACAGAGAUUGAUGCACCAAGUGCAUCACCUCCAACCCCUUGCGAAAACAACUAUCAUGUGUUGCUUUGGCAGUGUUUCCACUGCCAGAGGUUUACAUAAAAUCAGCUGUUUGGAUGUUGUCUGAGUAAACUAUAUGAAUUAUUUAAAACUUUCAACAAUGGAUCU